This 492-nucleotide ribosomal RNA is filed under the name uncultured bacterium. RNAcentral describes it as "bacterial SSU rRNA". It matches the Rfam family "Bacterial small subunit ribosomal RNA", at positions 30 to 515 of the family's 1533-position model. The record is from RNAcentral.
AUUGAACGCUGGCGGCAUGCCUUACACAUGCAAGUCGAACGGCAGCACGGACUUCGGUCUGGUGGCGAGUGGCGAACGGGUGAGUAAUGUAUCGGAACGUACCUUUCAGUGGGGGAUAACGUAGCGAAAGUUACGCUAAUACCGCAUAUUCUGUGAGCAGGAAAGCAGGGGAUCGCAAGACCUUGCGCUGAUUGAGCGGCCGAUAUCAGAUUAGCUAGUUGGUGGGGUAAAGGCCUACCAAGGCGACGAUCUGUAGCGGGUCUGAGAGGAUGAUCCGCCACACUGGAACUGAGACACGGUCCAGACUCCUACGGGAGGCAGCAGUGGGGAAUUUUGGACAAUGGGGGCAACCCUGAUCCAGCCAUGCCGCGUGAGUGAAGAAGGCCUUCGGGUUGUAAAGCUCUUUCGGCCGGGAAGAAAUCGCACAGGCUAAUACCCUGUGUGGAUGACGGUACCGGAAUAAGAAGCACCGGCUAACUACGUGCCAGCACG